Molecule: long non-coding RNA, 2295 nt
Filed under: Mytilus galloprovincialis (Mediterranean mussel)
Lineage: Eukaryota; Metazoa; Mollusca; Bivalvia; Mytilida; Mytilidae
Source: RNAcentral
GAUGAUAAUGUACAUUACAUGAUAACUAUGAACAAUAAAUAAAAAUGAAAAAUAUAUUCAUCCAUUUUAAAUUUGUACAUACAAUACAUGCCAUUACUGAUAACAUAUAAAAUCACACAUUAAAAUUUUAAACACAGUAUUUAUCAGAAGAAGGCAAUCUUUAAAAGACAAGCGCAUUACAUUUGCGCGAACUUAGCUAGUAAUUUUUUUCUUACGAUAGCAAACAAGAUUUUUAUUGUAUUUGUGCGUAUCUAUUUUUCAGCUAAAACAGUGGAAAAUACAUCAACAAUUGAGGAUAAAUACGUAGGGAAAAAAAGAGAACUUAUGUUGAAUAUUUUUCAUAUUUUUGAUUAUAAUUCCAAAAGAUGCUAAUCAUUUAAUAAACUACAUUUUCCAUUCACUACGCUUUAAUUUCCAUGUUUAAGAGUAGAUUUUUUUUUUAGGCAUCCCUAUGAUCAACAAACGCUGCAUGAUCUUCCAAUGACCGGGAAUAAUUUAUUCGUCGUGUUAAGCCAUUUUGUUUAUACUCUUGAAAUUUUCUUGAAAAUUCAAAUGAACAACAUACCAAGUUUAAAAGACUUAACAAAUUAACUGUUUUACGUCGAAAUUGGAAAGGGAAAAAACAUAUAUACAUUGUUAUAUUAAAUUCAUCUUUAUAUCCUGAUAUAUCAUAAAUUUUAACUUUAUUAACCUUUGAAAUGAAUGCACUCACAUAUAAUUAAAUAUUUGUGUAAAUGUGUUGCUUUUUAUGCCAAUAUAAUAGUAAUACAAGCUCAUAUAAUGCACCGCACAAAACGAUAAGCAAAAUUUCUAGUUUAAAGUCAAAUAUUCAUGGUUACAUGGUUUAAUAAAUAAAUAAAUUUCAACAAACAAUAUUCCAUGAAAAAGUCUAAUUAACGUUUCACAGACGUCAUUUAAAAAUUUAAGUGUUUAGUAUUAAAAUAUAUAUAUGUGCGCUUUAGUCAUUUGACUCGGGUUUCUGGUUUUUAUAAUGUUUAGGAAAUUAUCAAACCAAUGCAUACAUUAUACUAAAUUAAGUUAUCUGUGCACUUAAUUUCACAUUUACUUCGAAUCCAUAACGUAUAACCACCGAAAAUAAAUUUCAUUCUGUGAUUAUUGGAGGAGAACUUCAGAUACUUAUUUACUUUCGGGUUCUUCUGGUCGUAGUUCAUCAAAUCACGACCUUGAAAAACAAUUAAAGCAGAUUGUGACAAAAAUAUGGAGCAUGUGAGAAACAAAUCAAUGAUAAAGAGAUGUUUAGAUGCUUUUUCUUCUCAUGCGUUCCCAUUUAGAAAAACAUUAUCAUAUAGGUUGUUUAUUGGUUUGGUGUUUUUAUAUAUAUUUUCGUUACAAAUUGUAAAAGAAAUAUAUAUAAAAACACCAAAACAAUAAACAACCUAUAUGAUAAUCUUUUUUAAAUGUUAAUUAAAGAUCACCGGAAGUCAAUAAUCCAAUAUGAGUAGAACUCGAUAAAUAAGUCUACGUACAAGUAAAACCUUUUUAAUUUUAAAGUAUUAUGUGACUUAAAUUUGGAAAACCUACAGAUCUCUAUUGUGAGAUUGUCUUUAGAAUCACAAAAAAAAACACCAACUAAAAGUAGCAGGAAAAUAGAAAUGACGUACCCCCAAUAAUCCAAUUAAGAAAUCACAUGAUUGCAAUACAUCGUUUGCAAGCAGACAAUAGGUUAGCAUUCAACAAAUAUAAGAGUCUCCAAUUCAUCAUUUUAUAAAACUGCUUAACAUAAAUCUAAAAACAAAUCGUUCUUUUUUUCACACAUUCGAAAAAAUUACAACGUAUUAAUACAUCAAAUGUACAUAGAAUAUGUUUUACUUUGUGUAUGUAUGCCCUUCUAAACGAUUAAAGCUGACUGUAAUUGAAAGAGAGAGUAUUUCCAAUAUCAAAUAUUUUGUCUGAAAACAUUUCCAAAGUUUACACGUUUAACCUUUUGAGUAAAACAGCUUAUGCAUUUUAUUUUAGUUUAUAUUCGACAUAGAAAUACAACUUCUAAUGGUAUAUUAGACUGUUAAGAUAAAUGUGUACUCACGUCUACCGAGACAUAGUUUAAAGCAACUUUAUCUUCGAAGGUUUACUUUGUAUAUACGAACAGUUCCAAAACAUGCGUAAACAGUCAAUGAACAAAACUUAUGAAUAAAAGAGCAAUGUAACAAAUGCAUGAUUUGAAUCAUGAUAAGUGAUCACCUUUUACAGUUAUUCAUAUGUUAUUGUAAAGAUGACUUUUGUGGUAAAAUGCAAUUUUUUUUACAAAUGGGGAAAUGAGUUACAAUCAAACAUUCA